GGCGGCAUAGCCAAGCGGUAAGGCAGAGGUCUGCAAAACCUUUAUCACCGGUUCAAUUCCGGUUGCCGCCUCCA
This 74-nucleotide transfer RNA is filed under the name Peribacillus loiseleuriae. Its description in RNAcentral is "tRNA-Cys". It matches the Rfam family "tRNA". From Rfam's summary of the family: Transfer RNA (tRNA) molecules are approximately 80 nucleotides in length. Their secondary structure includes four short double-helical elements and three loops (D, anti-codon, and T loops). The record is from RNAcentral. Lineage: Bacteria; Bacillati; Bacillota; Bacilli; Caryophanales; Bacillaceae. RNAcentral also lists the same sequence under 15 other names.